AUUGAACGCUGGCGGCAGGCCUAACACAUGCAAGUCGAACGGUAACAGGAAACAGCUUGCUGUUUCGCUGACGAGUGGCGGACGGGUGAGUAAUGUCUGGGAAACUGCCUGAUGGAGGGGGAUAACUACUGGAAACGGUAGCUAAUACCGCAUAACGUCGCAAGACCAAAGAGGGGGACCUUCGGGCCUCUUGCCAUCGGAUGUGCCCAGAUGGGAUUAGCUAGUAGGUGGGGUAACGGCUCACCUAGGCGCCGAUCCCUAGCUGGUCUGAGAGGAUGACCAGCCACACUGGAACUGAGACACGGUCCAGACUCCUACGGGAGGCAGCAGUGGGGAAUAUUGUACAAUGGGCGCAAGCCUGAUGCAGCCAUGCCGCGGGGAGGAAGAAGGACUUCGGGUUGUAAAGUACUUUCAGCGGGGAGGAAGGGAGUAAAGUUAAUACCUGUACUCAUUGACGUUACCCGCAGAAGAAGCACCGGCUAACUCCGUG
RNAcentral lists this ribosomal RNA (490 nucleotides) under uncultured bacterium. Its description in RNAcentral is "partial 16S ribosomal RNA". It matches the Rfam family "Bacterial small subunit ribosomal RNA", at positions 30 to 507 of the family's 1533-position model. The record is from RNAcentral.